GAGUUUGAUCAUGGCUCAGAAUCAACGCUGGCGGCGUGCCUAACACAUGCAAGUCGAACGAGAAAGCGGGGGCAACCCUGCAAGUACAGUGGCAGACGGGUGAGUAACACGUGAACAACCUACCCUUGAGUGGGGAAUAACACCGCGAAAGCGGUGCUAAUACCGCAUAACAUCCCUGGAUCGCAUGAUCCGGAGAUCAAAAGCGAAAGUUGCUCGAGGAGGGGUUCGCGCCUGAUUAGCUAGUUGGUGAGGUAACGGCUCACCAAGGCCACGAUCAGUAGCCGGCCUGAGAGGGCGAACGGCCACACUGGAACUGAGACACGGUCCAGACUCCUACGGGAGGCAGCAGUGGGGAAUUUUGCGCAAUGGGCGAAAGCCUGACGCAGCAACGCCGCGUGGAGGAUGAAGGCCUUCGGGUCGUAAACUCCUGUCAGUGGGGACGAAAGCCUCGCAAGAGGUUUGACUGUACCCGCUGAGGAAGCCACGGCUAACUCCGUGCCAGCAGCCGCGGUAAUACGGAGGUGGCAAGCGUUGUUCGGAAUUACUGGGCGUAAAGGGCGCGUAGGCGGCUUGGCAAGUCAGAUGUGAAAGCCCCGGGCUUAACUCGGGAAUUGCAUCUGAAACUGCUUUGCUUGAGUCCUGGAGGGGAUAGUGGAAUUCCCAGUGUAGCGGUGAAAUGCGUAGAUAUUGGGAGGAACACCUGCGGCGAAGGCGGCUAUCUGGACAGUGACUGACGCUGAGGCGCGAAAGCUAGGGGAGCGAACGGGAUUAGAUACCCCGGUAGUCCUAGCCGUAAACGAUGGGCACUUGGUGUUGGGGGUAUUGAGUCCCUCGGUGCCGGAGUUAACACGUUAAGUGCCCCGCCUGGGGAGUACGGUCGCAAGACUGAAACUCAAAGGAAUUGACGG
Molecule: ribosomal RNA, 908 nt
Filed under: uncultured bacterium
Lineage: Bacteria
Description: bacterial SSU rRNA
Rfam family: Bacterial small subunit ribosomal RNA
Source: RNAcentral